Myxocyprinus asiaticus (Chinese sucker) is the source of this 3403-nucleotide long non-coding RNA. RefSeq lists it as uncharacterized. Lineage: Eukaryota; Metazoa; Chordata; Actinopteri; Cypriniformes; Catostomidae. The record is from RefSeq and is a predicted model, not a curated record. The transcript has 4 exons.
ACGUUGUGCUGGUAAGUGAAGGGUCACAGGUACAAAUCCAGCCCCAGCCACAAUCUUUCGUUUAGGAUUCAGACAGAAAGACAUGUUUUUUAGGAUUCAUCCAUCGGGAGGGUUUAAUCCUUUCGCACGUAAAUUCUAAAUGAUUUAACCGAUGAAGCGUAAAUUUUUUUUCGGCGGUUAUUUUACAACGUAUCAAAUUUUAAACUCCAGUGUAACGCACCAAGCUUGUGACGUGAGACUCUGGGCAGUAACAUGACGGUUCACCGCUGACUCGUCUCGCUUGGAGCUGGAGAACAGAGGUUUUCUUCACUUUAAAACCUUCCUCAUUGGUUUAAAACAUGUAUAAAUUAUAAUAAAUGUUUUAACCAACGGUUUAUAUUGACAUUUAUUUAUUUUAUUUUCUCGGGCUUUGAAUUUUGCUCCUACGUGCAACUUUUCUGCCAACGCAUUACAGGAUUGCUACUGGCCCUGAACAUGGCUGGGAGAAUGUGGGACUGGUAUACCAGUAUCCUUCCUCACAUAAGGCGGCGGUAAGGUCAUUACAUCAGACAUAGAGAUCCCAAACCCCUCAUAAUGGUGAAUGUCUGUGGUGGAUCUGAUAUAAAUAAUCAUGUCUUGCAAAUACUCAGUGUGCAUGUCACACACACAAAAAAAUAAUGUGAAAUCAGUUUCUUUUUGCAGGUGUAAAUGAUGAAAUGCCAGCCUGCCCUUCCACUUUGUCACUGAUUCAUCCAUAGAGAGGAACAGAAACAUGCUGAAAGGAGUGUUAUUCACUUACAGACCUAGCAGUGCCACCUGGUCCUACUACCCUGGGAAGUGGUUUGAGGAACUUCAGAGGGAAAAUGCCUGGCUUUCUGAGGCAGGACAGCCCCUGAACUGUGCUCCUCAAGCAGCCCUCUCAUCAGGCUGAUCCUGAAUUGCAGGGAAUCAGUGGAGUGCCCUAUCAAUAGUAAGGGGCCUGUAAGGACAUGACAAAGGACCCAGAGAUCCCAACUCCCUCGUAGUGGUGGAUCCAGUGUAACCAGUGGUGUUUUCUCCAGCUGUUCUGCGGAAUAGCGGUUUGUUUCCUGAUCUCCUCUGCAUUAGACCUCUGUGGGAGAUGCAAGUGGGGUAAAAUUGCUGGUAAUCCUCCAGCAGGAAGAGCUUACCUCCUCCACCUUUUUUGGUGUGGUGUGUGCAGGCGAUGAAGCAGUAACUGAGACAUCUUCAGAAUUAAAAAAAUAUAUAUUUCUCUGAUCUCAUCUAUUAAUUGUUUUCUUUUAAAAGCAGACCUCUUUUUCUGUGGCAAUGGUUUAAAAAGACCGUUCUAGCAACUGUUUUAUAUAUUUAAAUGACAAGUGCUUAACCAGUCUCUAUGUAGCUGCUAAACAAUACAACAGCUUUUAUAGUGAGUUUCAGUUAGUUUUGCACUGUUAUACACUGUGGAUUGAGCAGUAAAUAUGUAGUCUGCUGCAUUAGUUUGAAUGCCUGUAACAAAAUAAACAACUGAUUAAAAUAAAAAGAUUGUUCAAGCAGCUCUGUUAGGCAUGCAAAUGGCAUUGCUUAGCCAAUCCCUCUCUGUAGCAGCGACAGCUAAAUAGCGUGAAAGCAAAUUUGAAUUUUAAAAUUUGCCAGUUGAUGACGUCAGACAGGAACGUUCUAAUCAUACCGGUUUAAUGGUACUCCACAGGGACCACUCUGGAAUGAUCAAACCAGUGUUAUGGUACAUGCGAAAGGGUUAACCCCAACCCUCUACUGAUCAAUUAAAUUGUAAAUGAUUUGCCAUUUUGAGGAGGAAUCAGCAUUGCUGCGUGUAGCUAUAUAUAUAUAUAUAUAUAUAUAUUUAUUUCAUAUUUACUACUACCUGUACAAACACGUGUUCAAUAUGAAAAAUCUUUACAUUUUAAUUUUCAUAUUUAGACUACUACCUCUACAAACCCACCCAUUUAAAUAAUUUCAUUUGCACAUUCCUGUAUAAAAACUGCAUACAUACAGUAGUAUUCAUGUAUAUAUUAAUCUAUACAGAAAUACAGCAGCUAGACACAGAAUUACAGGAUAUAUCAACAAAGGUCAAAUUUCUUGUGUGUGUGUGUGUUACCAUGUUUAUACUACAUUGUGGGGACCAAAUGUCCCCACAAGGAUAGUAAAACCCGAGAAAACCUACCUUGUGGGGACCAGCCAGCGGUCCCCAUGAGGGAACUGGCUUAUUAAACAUACUAAAUGAUGUUUUUUUGAAAAUGUAAAAUGCAACAAGGUUUCUGUGAGGGUUAGGUUUAUGGUUAGGGGAUAAAAAUUAUCGUUAGAGCUGUAUAAAAUCCAUAAAAUUUAUGGAAGUCUAUGGAGAGUCCCCACAAUGAUAAAAAAAAAAAAAAAACAUGGUCCUCAAAAGUAUAGCAAAACCUGUACACACACACACACUCACUUACACAUACCAAGUAUUGAGAAUCAACCUGUUCUGUGAGGACAUUUCUGGUUGUGAGCACCUUUUGGGUCAUCCUCACAAGGGAAAUGGCAUAUUAAAUUGUUUUUGGUUUUUUUUAUUUAAAAAUGCAAAAAGGUUUCUGUUAGGGUUAGGUUUAGGGUUAGGGUUAGGGGAUAGAAUCUAUAGUUUUUACAGUAUAAAAAUCAUUAUGUCUAUGGAGGGUCCUCACAAGUAUAGCAAAACCAACGUAUAUGUGUGUGUGUGUGUGAUUUUUACAUUUUUAUUUUUUAGAUAAAUAAAAGAUUUAGACUACUACCUCUACAAACCCAUACCCAUUUAAACAAUUUCAUUUGCACAUUCCUGUAUAAAAACUCUGCAUACAUACAGUAUACUAUUUAUCUAUACAUUAAUCUAUACAAUACAGAAAUACAGCAGCUAGACACAGAAUUACAGGAUAUAUCAACAAAUUUCUUGUGUGUGUGUGUGUGUGUGUGUGAGAGAGAGAGAGAGGGAGAGAGAGAAAACCUCAACAUCUGGCCUCUUUUUGUGCAUGAGCUUGAAAACAACAUACCCAAAGUAAAACUCUUCCAGUUCUUGAACCCUUUGGUCUACAAACACAAACUUGGGCUCGUUUGAAAUUAGACACUUAGACAUUUGUUAUUCAAGAGUAAAAAUGUAUCAUUGUAGUAUAAAAACAAAAAUUAGUUAGAGCUAUUCAGAUAUUUUGAACAGUGACCGCAAAUAUUAUUCAUAAAAUACUUUUUUUUUUAUGCGCAAUGCCCCAAAAACACAUCUGAUACAAAGCCACAUGUCUGAUGAAGGUAUGACACAAUUUUGAAGUCAAUAUGACCAACACUCUUUGUUUCAUAAUGAUUUAUGUACUUCCAAAAAAAAAAAAAAAAGGCCACUUGGAGGCACCAAUAGACCACUUGUAGUAACUCCGUAACCCAAUGACCAAAGUGGUUCAAAACACACAAUUUGUUUAUAAUUCAAUGUAAGAAA